This 520-nucleotide non-coding RNA is filed under the name uncultured Glomus. Its description in RNAcentral is "SSU rRNA". It matches the Rfam family "Eukaryotic small subunit ribosomal RNA", at positions 569 to 1090 of the family's 1831-position model. Lineage: Eukaryota; Fungi; Glomeromycota; Glomeromycetes; Glomerales; Glomeraceae. The record is from RNAcentral. RNAcentral also lists the same sequence under 1 other name.
AGCAGCCGCGGUAAUUCCAGCUCCAAUAGCGUAUAUUAAAGUUGUUGCAGUUAAAAAGCUCGUAGUUGAAUUUCGGGAUCAAUUAGUCGGUCGUGCCUCUGGUACGUACUGGUUUUAUUGGUUCCUCCCUUCUGACGAAACAUGAUGUCAUUAAUUUGGUGUCGUGGAGAAUCAGGACUGUUACCUUGAAAAAAUUAGAGUGUUUAUAGCAGGCUAACGCUUGAAUACAUUAGCAUGGAAUAAUGAAAUAGGACGUUCGACCCUAUUUUGUUGGUUUCUAGGAUCGACGUAAUGAUUAAUAGGGAUAGUUGGGGGCAUUAGUAUUCAAUUGUCAGAGGUGAAAUUCUUGGAUUUAUUGAAGACUAACUACUGCGAAAGCAUUUGCCAAGGAUGUUUUCAUUAAUCAAGAACGAAAGUUAGGGGAUCGAAGACGAUCAGAUACCGUCGUAGUCUUAACCAUAAACUAUGCCGACUAGGGAUCGGAUGAUGUUAAUUUUUUAAUGACUCAUUCGGCGCCUUA